Molecule: unclassified non-coding RNA, 458 nt
Filed under: Hevea brasiliensis (rubber tree)
Lineage: Eukaryota; Viridiplantae; Streptophyta; Magnoliopsida; Malpighiales; Euphorbiaceae
Source: RNAcentral
AAACUAUGAGUGUACUGUGAUUUAGACUAGUUGUAUGAAGCAUGUAUGAUAUGAUAUAUUGGCUUUUGAAUCAAGACAAAGGAAAAAAGACUCAGAAAACUCAAGUACAAUGGCAACGAAGGGGAACUGAGACACCGGGAGGUUUCCUCUUCUCACGGAUGAUAGCUUCUUUAAUCAUGGGCAGUUUUUGGUGAACCUUUCUCCAUAUGUAAUUUAUAGCACCAUUUGGAGAUAUAGGACCAAUACCACCUGGUUGACCAUUUUCAUACUCAAAAAUGGGCUGUACUAUAGCCAUAUUACGCCGAAACCUAUCUUUUUGCUCAUAGGAAUAGCUUCGAAGAUGGUUCACGAGCCAACUUGGUUGCAGUGCAUCACUAACUGACACAAACACUGCAAAUUCUGAAUAGUCCACCAUCCCUUCAAAUGGGAGCUCGAUGUUGUCACUAACAAUGACAGGA